This 600-nucleotide ribosomal RNA is filed under the name uncultured bacterium. Its description in RNAcentral is "bacterial SSU rRNA". It matches the Rfam family "Bacterial small subunit ribosomal RNA", at positions 744 to 1348 of the family's 1533-position model. The record is from RNAcentral.
CGCUAAAGCUCGAAGGUGCGGGUAUCGAACAGGAUUAGAUACCCUGGUAGUCCGCACGGUAAACGAUGGAUGCCCGCUGUCGGCGAUACAAUGUCGGCGGCCAAGCGAAAGCGUUAAGCAUCCCACCUGGGGAGUACGCCGGCAACGGUGAAACUCAAAGGAAUUGACGGGGGCCCGCACAAGCGGAGGAACAUGUGGUUUAAUUCGAUGAUACGCGAGGAACCUUACCCGGGCUUGAACUGCAGAGGAAUGCGGUGGAGACACCAAAGCCCUUCGGGGUCUCUGUGGAGGUGCUGCAUGGUUGUCGUCAGCUCGUGCCGUGAGGUGUCGGCUUAAGUGCCAUAACGAGCGCAACCCCUUUCGUCAGUUGCCAUCAGGUGAUGCUGGGCACUCUGGCGACACUGCCACCGUAAGGUGCGAGGAAGGUGGGGAUGACGUCAAAUCAGCACGGCCCUUACGUCCGGGGCUACACACGUGUUACAAUGGGUGGUACAGAGAGUCGGUGCAUGGCAAUGUGCAUCCAAUCCUUAAAGCCAUCCUCAGUUCGGAUUGGGGUCUGCAACCCGACCCCAUGAAGCUGGAUUCGCUAGUAAUCGCGCA